Molecule: long non-coding RNA, 573 nt
Organism: Agrilus planipennis (emerald ash borer)
Lineage: Eukaryota; Metazoa; Arthropoda; Insecta; Coleoptera; Buprestidae
Exons: 2
Source: RefSeq, a predicted model, not a curated record
UGAACAUGUAAUCAACUAAUGUAGUAAACUUUCUCGCAGGUUUGCACACGAACGACAGUUUUAAUUAGUAUUAAUACCAGAGAAAUCCGAAAGAUUUCGCAAAAUAUUCAGUGACAAUCCAACAGAUCGCGGUGAAAUUUAAAAGUGAAAAAGUGUUGUGAAAAUGUCUGAAGUCUGCAAAAUGGAAAACAUCCCAUCAUCUAACCAGUGCGAAUGCAAAGAGGGAUCUCCUUGCCAGUGUAGAUGUACAUGCAGCUGUAAAAGAAGUGAAAACUGUAGCAAUUGUGAAUGCAGAUGCAAUUGCAAUUGUUGCAAUGAAGGAAAAAGCUGCAACUGCAAGUCUGCUACAGAUCCACCAAAUAAACUUCAGGGAAAACAUCAGGAAACACUGUACUGUUGCAAAUGCUCCUGUUAAGAACACAUUGUGUACUGACCGAAUAAAUACAAUAUAAAAAAAAUAUACGUACAUUAUCUUCAACUCCUUCAAAUGAAAAAUUAAAUAUCUGAACUGGUGUACAUCCAUAUGACGUAUAAAACUAUAUUAAAGAAAUAAAGUUUUUUUUUCAAAUUAAA